UGGGGUAUCGCCAAGCGGUAAGGCACCGGUUUUUGAUAUCGGCAUUCCCUGGUUCGAAUCCAGGUACCCCAGCCA
This 75-nucleotide transfer RNA is filed under the name Citrobacter koseri. Its description in RNAcentral is "tRNA-Gln". It matches the Rfam family "tRNA". From Rfam's summary of the family: Transfer RNA (tRNA) molecules are approximately 80 nucleotides in length. Their secondary structure includes four short double-helical elements and three loops (D, anti-codon, and T loops). Further hydrogen bonds mediate the characteristic L-shaped molecular structure. tRNAs have two regions of fundamental functional importance: the anti-codon, which is responsible for specific mRNA codon recognition, and the 3' end, to which the tRNAs corresponding amino acid is attached (by aminoacyl-tRNA synthetases). tRNAs cope with the degeneracy of the genetic code in two manners: having more than one tRNA (with a specific anti-codon) for a particular amino acid; and 'wobble' base-pairing, i.e. permitting non-standard base-pairing at the 3rd anti-codon position. The record is from RNAcentral. Lineage: Bacteria; Pseudomonadati; Pseudomonadota; Gammaproteobacteria; Enterobacterales; Enterobacteriaceae. RNAcentral also lists the same sequence under 21 other names.